CUCUGGCCUGAGCCCCCAACAUCUCCCACCUGGGUGCCCCCCCCCCAGUCCUGUCCAUUCUCAACAAACAGCCAAAGUGAGCCUUUUAACACUUGAGACCCUGCCAUUUCCUGCUUAAAAGAUGUGACGGUGACUCCUGGCAGAGUCAAAGCUGAGGGUUUCAGGUGCCUUCACGGUCCGACCCGAUUUGCCCCAGCGUCUCCCGUUAGGACCCUCUGGCUGCCUGCCCCCCGCUCUAGCCCCAGUAACUUCCGUCGGUACCUGGAACACCCCAGACCUGCUUCUGCCUCUGGGCCUUUGCCCUGGCAGUUCCCUCCUCUCCCAGACCAACUUGUCCCCUCCUCCUCUGGGCUUUGCUGAGAUGUCACUGUGACAUCCUCCCCUGACCACUGUAUUUAAAAUGGCAAGUCCCACUUCCUGCAUUGGAAUGUCGGUCACCCCUUACUGUGGUCUACCUUUUCUUUUCCAACCACCCCCCUGCCAGCAUUUACACUCUUCUCUUUAUCUAGUUAUUGGGUGGUGUUUACUGUAUCUCUCCACUUUCACAGGCUAGAGACUCUUGUCAGCUUUCACUCACUGAUGGCACGCAAGAACCUAGAUUGGCACUUGGCAUGUAGUAGACACUAAGUAAAUAUUUGCUAAGUGAAUGACCACAGCAGAAUGCAGAUGUCUUUAAAAAAACUAGGGUGCUCAAAAUAUUUGAGGUUGUGAUUUAACAAAGACCAAUCAUCAGGAAUUUGAGAGAAUUAAUAAUCAGAACUCUUUCCUUGCAAGUGACAGCAGUUUGAAUAGUCCUGGUUUAAAUAAAAAAGGGAGGGAGGAAGAAAUGUGUUCACUUAGCUUCAGGCAUGGCUGGAUCCAGGGGUUCGAAGGAUGCUUUUGGGAUUCUGUCUCUGUGCUUUCCUCCUUCGGUGUCUGCUUCAGUCCCAGGCGGCCUCUCCCUUUAUGGUGGCAAAGAUACCACAGACAUCUAUAGGCUUUUAUGUUACCAGCCACCCCAUGAGCAGGAAGGUGCAUUUUUUUUUCUAUAUUACCUGUUCUUCUGCCCAAGAUUUGCUCCCCAAGCUCUCUCAGUGGCACAGCAAUGGACUGUGUAUGUUCGUCUGUACUGAUUUCUGCGCACUGGUUUCUACAGUUGAAAACCACACAUUCCCUCUGAUCCCCCGGUUCCCAUCCAGCAGCACAGGGUUGGUUUUAGGGCUUUCCUCCCUUUCCCCGUAUGUCCUCCCUUCUCUGACAGUGAGGCCAGGCCCCCACUUCCUUCAUGUAUUACUUGUUUGCUCAGUGCCCCACGGGUAACUCCCCCUCCCCACAGGGCUGGGCGUCCCCUUGUGAGGACGUCCUCCUCACCAGCUCCGACCUCAGGCUACCGUUUCCCUCCGGUUUCCGCACAGAUGCCCCCCCUUGUCCUGACCCACUUGACGGCUAUCACUCUGGUUUGUUCCGAGUGGGAAGAGGAGAGAAGGCAGGACGCCUUUAUCUUUAUGUCAGUUACCCCAAGAGACUCAGGCCUCCCAGGCCAUCCCCGAUUUCCAGGACCUGAGUGACGUGAGUGACAGCUCGCCGCUGCCCUUCACCCAGCCUCGCCAGGGCUCCCUCCCCUCUCCUGCUGCGUUUUCCGGGCACUUGGCGCCAUCCCCGUAUUGAUUGGACAGAUUCUUAACCCUGCAGCCCUCAGUGCCUGGCGUGUGGAAGAACCAGGAGAUAUUUGCUCGAUGAGUGAGUCCCAGGAGAGCGCCGUCCCACGUGGACAGGGAGGCUCUGAGGCCACUGCCGGGCGCAGGGCGGGGGUGGUGUGUCAUGACUGAACCACGUCCCCCUGCACGGUGGCCAUCCCUGGCUGGCGAAGGCUUGCGUGCCCUUCAUCCCAGCACCCCGGCAGGUGGCACCCCCCCUGGCCCUUGCAGCGCCAGUAACUUCUGGGAGUGGCUGAGGCGAGGAGGUACAGUUAGCAUCAUUCAUUGCUGGUGUUGUACAGGCUGUCACAACUAAUGAAAUUUUAUGACAGACGGGCAACGACCAGCUUCCUGGUGUUAUUUAUCUUUCUCGCUUCUGGCUCAGAGCACCGGGUGAUUUUUCAUUUACAUUUAAAAAUGCCAAGAUGACUAAGCGCAAUUCGCCUACUCAGAAAACUAGCAAAUUGUGUCAGUGCACACACGCAGUUAAUAAUCAUCAGGCCUGAGCAAGGAGGAGCAGCAAGGCAGGCCGGUCUGUCUGCCCCGUUCCCUCCCUCUCCUGCCACCCUCUCCCCCAGCUCCCAGACACCAGGGACGAACAUCAUGGGUUUAUCCUUUGCCCACUCCUGAUAUUUGCCGUUCUCGAAAUGACAAACAAAAGCUUCUGAGUGGUGACAUGGGCCCCUAUGACUCCACAGAUUUAUUUGUAGCAAGCUUAGAGGAGGUGAUGCAAAUAGUUGUAACACCUGGGGGUGGGAGGGUUUAAGAACAUAGAAAAUGGAACGUGAGAAGGGACGGAGGCCCCAGGAGGCAGGUUAAUCCUAGAGUGACAAGACUCAAGGUUGUGAGACUGUGUUUAUAGAACCCAGAGACCUCGCAGAACUAAUUAAUCACAGCGCCCCAAACCUGUAUGUGCUUUGAAACAUUUCUUUUGCACACACGGCUGACGCUCUCAUAGCCCCAUUCCUGAAAUAUUAUCCCUGCCUCCAUCCCCACCUGCUCCUGCAGAACCUCCAGGCUCUGCAGUUCCCCGCCCCCCACAUAUUACUUCCGCGGGGUCCCGAGAGGUAUCUCGCAUGUGUUCACUAAUAAACAGUGAGGUCUCGGGUAACACCUGCAGUCUUUUUUUUUAUUUUCUGCGGGUCCCAUGAGGUUUUGAUGAACUGCCUCCUUGAGCCACCCCAAGCAUCAGGCCUGUGUCCCUCCCCUGGGAGCCCUUCAGAGUCUAGAGAAGAUGCUUCUUCUCCACUCCCAGUGUUUGCCCAGGGAUGGUAAAAUUGUGCCGUGAGUGUUCCUGUGCCUUCUCGAUUUUUUUAGUAAACAGCUCUGGGGCGGGGAGACACAGCUGAAAGCCAACAUUAGGCUCUUCCCAAAACCCAAGUGCAGCGUCGUGACUGAGGCCUUGUAAGGGGCCAUGCUGUUCGCCUCACCUCUGGGGACGGGCUCCUUCCCAGACGGCUCUGGGAGGCCCCACAUGCCCAGACAUGCCACCUCACCGAAGUGGGCAUUGCCCAGGCUCCCGGUGGCACAUCCUGAUUCGGAGGGGACUGGUGGGGCCAGAAAGCAGAUCAGACACAGAAGUGCCCUCAAGGACUUCAUUGCACUAAUAGACCUGUAGAAAAUAAACAAACGGUGGCGGCGGGGGGGAGCUGCGUGCAUUGAGGGGGCGCAGAUAAUGGGGCCGAGAGCACAGCUCCUUCCUGCAGAGUCGAAGCAGGAAUGUCCUUGAGGGAUGCGAACACCUGGAGAAGGUGAGCAGAACAAUAUUCCAGGAAGAAGGGGCACAGGGUGCUUCCUAGAAACUCAGGGGUGAUGGCAAAGGUUUGGAUUGGCCCCCGCCAUGCUGUUGGGGGAUGUUUGGGGAAAUUAUGGCAGGAAUGGGAGUGAGACUAAGAACAGGAGAUCCCUGACUGUCGGCUGAGUUGCCUGUGUCUUACUUCAUAUGCAGCAAAAUAUACCAAAGUGAGAUGUGAAACUAGAUGGUGCCAUUAAAAGCUGUGGUGCAGAGGGCCGUGGCGCUGGGCCCAGUAGAUGCACCUGGCUCAGUGUGCGUCAGGUGAAUAGGAGGAGGGGUGGGAUGGGCGGUCCAGGGGGAGGCUUCUGCAGUAGCUGCAGGUGUGUCUGAGGUUGAAAAGAGGGAAGGCGGAGUUCCCAUCGUGGCUCAGUAGUUAACGAGCCUGACUAGCAUCCCUGAGGAUUCGGGUUCAAUCCCUGGCCUCGCUCAGUUGGUGAAGGAUCCAGCGUUGCCAUGAGCUAUGGUGUAGGUGGCAGACGUGGCUCAGAUCCCAUGUUGCUGUGGCUGUGGUGUAGCCCGGUAUCUACAGCUCCAAUUAGACUGCUGGCCUGGGAACCUCCACAUGCUGUGGGUGCAGUCCUAAAAAGACAAAAAAAAAGUGAUGAGGCUGGAUGACAGAGCAGACAGGUAUUGAGGCGAGGGGACAGAGGCGUCUGAGAGGCAUGCGUGAGCCUCGAGUCAUCAGGAAGAGAGCAGCGCUGGGCUCGAGAGGAGGAGGACGUCUUGGUCGGAGCUCGAUGGACUCUCAUCUUCAGAAUGUGAAGGUGGGUGGGACAGGCCCACCUGCCAGGUAGGAAAACUGUGACCGAGAGGGGUGUCCUUGCUCACAGGGUGCAAGGCAGGAUGGACCUCAAACUCGGACCUUGGGGUUUCAAAACAUCCGCUCUUUUCUUUAGAGACCUGCCAAGCGGCUGUGUAGUGGGGACGGGACCAAAAAGAAGUCCACAGAAAGAUGAGCACCACAGAGGGAUGCUCUCGGUGCGCAAAGCUAACGCGUUGUCCUGUUCUUGGGAGGACGGUCAGGCAGAUGAACUCCCCUGGUCCCCCGCACUGAGACGCUUCCUGGGCACAUGGCUCCCCAGUCCCAGGUAGGUCUCCGAAAAGAGAGGCUCCCAAGAAAUCAACUCUGAAGCCCAAGCAUAGAGGGAGUGAUUGUGGAGAGAAACUGGGCACACCUUCCACCCUGAUCUUGCUGGGUUGUCAUAAGAAAAGCCAGGAAAUCCCUAAGAGAAGUUGCUUCCCCCAGAAGCUCCUGGAAGGGCCCCACAUUGCCGGCUAGGACAUUAGUAACAGGCCUCUUGCUCUUGGUUGUCCUCGGUGAUAGCCAGCUGUCUUCCGAGAACUCGGACUCUGCCACGGUCUGUUGUACAAGUGGGGGCGAGCCGGCGGUGUGUUGUUUUUCUCUGGGUCGGUGAGGAGCAGAGGUGAGGAGGCACGGCUUGCCAGUGUCCUAUUUGUCUUUCUGUUUGUUGUUGCAACUGGCCUCAUUAGGUCAGGCGAGAGCUGCCAACAUUUAUAACUUGGGCUUUUCUAAUUAAAGUUCCGCUGAAAAGGCUCCCCCCCCUCCUCCGCCUCUCUGCAGGAAUGUGCUCUCAUAACACAGGCAUCUGCCCCCCGGACUAACCUUUCUUGAAACCAGAUAAACAAAGUAAUACUAAUAAAAAUAUCCAUCUGUGCUUAAAGAUAAAUAGAGCAUUAAUACAGCAAGCUGAGAUCUGGAUCCUCUCAGAGCCAGCCCUAAUGAUAUUAGACAUCUGUUCCAGCCUCACUUUCUGCUCAUGUUCCGUUUGCACCUUCUUAUACGAAAACAACUUGAGUGGGUUGGUGUGGGGAGAAGGGGUGCCCCUUGACCACCGACCUUCUGAGAAGGUGAGAGACAGCAGGGUGAGCCGACAGUGUGCACCCUGCUUGGGCUCUGUCAUGGGUUUUAAGCGUGGUAGUCUUUUUUCAGUUUUAUUUUUGGAUACCAGAGUGCCAGUUUAUUCAUCGAGACCAGAUGUCCCCAGGCUGGCAUGGUCGUGGCAGUCUUUCUCUUCCUGGGGUCAAGACGUGACAGUACCCCUGAAGUGUCUGUUUACCGAGAGAGCCGUGUCUCAGCCUGGAAAGAUGGGAGGAGGGUGCUUGCCCUUAAGGAGAAGUGUACCCGGGCGGGAGAAGCCAGCCUCUCGGGGCUCCUAACAGUUUCGCACUCAGGAAGAAUGGCAGGCAAGAUGCUACCUGGGGGGACAGCUUUCUCUACUUGAGGGCAGACCUGUUGACCUGGGGUCCUUACUUGUGCUGCUACGUCCAGCGAGAUGAGCAAGUCACCAGGGGUGGGGGCCAUGCUGAGUGGGGGAAUUACAAACUGCUGCAGCCACGGGGAGGGGGCUGCUACUGACCUGUGGUCUGAAGACCCAGGAUGCUCCGGGAGAGCAAGGUGAGGGGCAGCCUUGCCCAGCCAAGAGCAGCUGGUCCCAAGUGAUGACAUGGCAUCCACAUUGCUAAAUGGCAGAAGCAUUUUUGCAAACAAAAAUCUUACACAGGGAGUUCCCAUUGUGGCUCAGGGGGUUAAGAACCCGACUAGUAUCCCUGACGGUGUGGGUUCAAUUCCUGGCCUCACUCAGUGGGUUAAGGAUCUGACGUUGCCAUGAGCUGUGAUGUAGGUUGCAGAAGUGGCUUGGAUCUGGUGUUGCUAUGGCUUCAGUGUAGGCUGGCAGCUGCAGCUCCAAUUCCACCCCUAGCCUGGGAACUUCCAUAUGCCAUGGGUGCAGCCCU
RNAcentral lists this long non-coding RNA (6225 nucleotides) under Sus scrofa (pig). Its description in RNAcentral is "lncRNA (ENSSSCG00000061863.1)". Lineage: Eukaryota; Metazoa; Chordata; Mammalia; Artiodactyla; Suidae. The record is from RNAcentral.